GUGGGUAGUUUGACUGGGGCGGUCUCCUCCCAAAGCGUAACGGAGGAGCACGAAGGUUAGCUAAUCCUGGUCGGACAUCAGGAGGUUAGUGCAAUGGCAUAAGCUAGCUUGACUGCGAGCGUGACGGCGCGAGCAGGUGCGAAAGCAGGUCAUAGUGAUCCGGUGGUUCUGAAUGGAAGGGCCAUCGCUCAACGGAUAAAAGGUACUCCGGGGAUAACAGGCUGAUACCGCCCAAGAGUUCAUAUCGACGGCGGUGUUUGGCACCUCGAUGUCGGCUCAUCACAUCCUGGGGCUGAAGUAGGUCCCAAGGGUAUGGCUGUUCGCCAUUUAAAGUGGUACGCGAGCUGGGUUUAGAACGUCGUGAGACAGUUCGGUCCCUAUCUGCCGUGGGCGCUGGAGAAUUGAGGGGGGCUGCUCCUAGUACGAGAGGACCGGAGUGGACGCAUCACUGGUGUUCGGGUUGUCAUGCCAAUGGCACUGCCCGGUAGCUAAAUGCGGAAGAGAUAAGUGCUGAAAGCAUCUAAGCACGAAACUUGCCCCGAGAUGAGUUCUCCCUGAGACUU
RNAcentral lists this ribosomal RNA (563 nucleotides) under Klebsiella pneumoniae. RNAcentral's name for it is "partial 23S ribosomal RNA". It matches the Rfam family "Bacterial large subunit ribosomal RNA", at positions 2261 to 2823 of the family's 2925-position model. The record is from RNAcentral. RNAcentral also lists the same sequence under 7 other names. Lineage: Bacteria; Pseudomonadati; Pseudomonadota; Gammaproteobacteria; Enterobacterales; Enterobacteriaceae.